UUAGAUACCCUAUUAUUUUAAAUGUUAAUUAUUAAACUAAGUGAUUAAUAGUUAUGUUCUUUAAAGCUAAAUAAUUUGGCGGUAUUUUAUACUUUUCAGAGGAACCUGUUCUAUAAUUGAUAGUCCACGAUUGAAUUAACUUAAAUUAGAAGUUUUUAUAUCUUCGUUAUUAAAUAUUUUAAUAGAAUUUAAUAUUUAAGAUUUCUUUAUAAAGGAAUAAAUCAGAUCAAGGUGAAGUUUAUAUUUAAGAUGAAAUGGGUUACACUAAAUUAUAUUUAUGAAUUUAAAAAUUUUAAAAUUUGAUGAAAUUGGAUUUGAAAGUAAUUAGUUAUAC
Molecule: ribosomal RNA, 334 nt
Filed under: Vibidia duodecimguttata (twelve-spotted ladybird beetle)
Lineage: Eukaryota; Metazoa; Arthropoda; Insecta; Coleoptera; Coccinellidae
Description: partial 12S ribosomal RNA
Source: RNAcentral